AUUGAACGCUGGCGGAAUGCUUAACACAUGCAAAUCGAACGGUAACAUUAUUAAAGCUUGCUUUAAUAGAUGACGAGUGGCGGACGGGUGAGUAACGCGUAGGAAUCUGCCCUAAAGCGGGGGAUAACCUAGGGAAACUUAGGCUAAUACCGCAUAAACUCUAAGGAGCAAAGGACAUGGCAACAUGUUCGUUUUAGGAUGAGCCUGCGUUGGAUUAGUUAGUUGUUAGGGUAAAGGCCUAACAAGACAAUGAUCCAUAGCUGUUCUGAGAGGAAGAUCAGCCACACUGGGACUGAGACACGGCCCAGACUCCUACGGGAGGCAGCAGUGGGGAAUCUUGGACAAUGGGCGCAAGCCUGAUCCAGCAAUUCCGCGUGUGUGAAGAAGGCCUGAGGGUUGUAAAGCACUUUUAAUUUGGAAGAAGUUGUCGCGAGACAAUUGACGUUACAAAUAGAAAAAGCACCGGCUAACUCUGUGCCAGCAGCCGCCGUAA
RNAcentral lists this ribosomal RNA (493 nucleotides) under uncultured bacterium. RNAcentral describes it as "partial 16S ribosomal RNA". It matches the Rfam family "Bacterial small subunit ribosomal RNA", at positions 30 to 523 of the family's 1533-position model. The record is from RNAcentral.